CGCCACAUGGCUCAGUGGGUAAGAGGGACGACUUUGGAGUGAAAGGCCCUGGGUUCGAACCCCUGUGCGGGUA
Molecule: non-coding RNA, 73 nt
Organism: Caenorhabditis elegans
Lineage: Eukaryota; Metazoa; Nematoda; Chromadorea; Rhabditida; Rhabditidae
Source: the annotation of a RefSeq genome assembly